GUCUCUGUGGCGUAAUAGGUUAACACAUUUGGCUAUUAACCAGAAAGUUGGUGGUUUGAGCCCACCCAGGGAGG
RNAcentral lists this transfer RNA (74 nucleotides) under Alligator sinensis (Chinese alligator). It matches the Rfam family "tRNA". From Rfam's summary of the family: Transfer RNA (tRNA) molecules are approximately 80 nucleotides in length. Their secondary structure includes four short double-helical elements and three loops (D, anti-codon, and T loops). The record is from Rfam by way of RNAcentral. Lineage: Eukaryota; Metazoa; Chordata; Crocodylia; Alligatoridae.